ACCUGGCUGGCCCAGUUGGUAGAGCACGGGACUCUUAAUCUCAGGGCCAUGAGUUCAAGUCCCAUGUUGGGUG
Molecule: transfer RNA, 73 nt
Filed under: Mustela putorius furo (domestic ferret)
Lineage: Eukaryota; Metazoa; Chordata; Mammalia; Carnivora; Mustelidae
Rfam family: tRNA
About the family: Transfer RNA (tRNA) molecules are approximately 80 nucleotides in length. Their secondary structure includes four short double-helical elements and three loops (D, anti-codon, and T loops).
Source: Rfam by way of RNAcentral